Molecule: non-coding RNA, 405 nt
Organism: Pelobates cultripes (western spadefoot toad)
Lineage: Eukaryota; Metazoa; Chordata; Amphibia; Anura; Pelobatidae
Source: the annotation of a GenBank genome assembly
AACACACAAAGAAUGAAAUGUUGCUUUUUUUUUUUUAACACACCAUGUAAACAUUCACAGUGCAGGUGGAAAAAGUAUGUGAACCCUUGCAUUUAAUAACUGGUUGAACCUCGUUGGCAGCAAUAACUUCAACCAAACGUUUCCUGUAGUUGCAGAUCAGACGUGCACAACGGUCAGGAGUAAUUCUUGACCAUUCCUCUUUACAGAACUGUUUCAGUUCAGCAAUAUUCUUGGGAUGUCUGGUGUGAAUCGCUUUUUUGAGGUCAUUUUUUGAGGUCCUGUUGCAACACCCAUCUUCUGUUGAGCUUCAGCUGGUAGACAGAUGGCCUUAAGUUCUCCUGCAAAAUGUCUUGAUAAACUUGGGAAUUAAUUUUUCCUUCGAUGAUAGCAAUCCGUCCAGGCCCU